Molecule: transfer RNA, 40 nt
Filed under: Swertia perennis
Lineage: Eukaryota; Viridiplantae; Streptophyta; Magnoliopsida; Gentianales; Gentianaceae
Also listed under: 1 other name
Description: partial tRNA-Phe
Source: RNAcentral
GUCGGGAUAGCUCAGCUGGUARAGCAGAGGACUGAAAAUC